RNAcentral lists this ribosomal RNA (276 nucleotides) under Actinomycetota bacterium. RNAcentral describes it as "partial 16S ribosomal RNA". It matches the Rfam family "Bacterial small subunit ribosomal RNA", at positions 1 to 274 of the family's 1533-position model. The record is from RNAcentral. Lineage: Bacteria; Bacillati; Actinomycetota.
UGAGCGGAGAGUUUGAUCCUGGCUCAGGACGAACGCUGGCGGCGCGUUUAACACAUGCAAGUCGAGGGAUCGGCCCGGACUUUGUUCGGGUACGGACCGGCGAACGGGUGAGUAACACGUGAGGAAUCUGCCCUGUAGACCGGAAUAACCACGGGAAACUGUGGCUAAUGCCGGAUAUUCUCGCCGCUCCGCAUGGAGCAACGAGGAAAUGGUCAGCCGCUACAGGAUGACCUCGCGGCCUAUCAGCUUGUUGGUGGGGUAACGGCCCACCAAGGC